UGAGCGGAGAUAUAUGGAGCUUGCUUUAUAUAACUUAGCAGCGAACGGGUGAGUAACACGUAGAUAAUCUAUCCUAUACUGGGGGAUAGCCCGAUGAAAGUUGGAUUAAUACCGCAUAUAGCUAUAUAGUUGCAUGAUUAUGUAGUGAAAGAUUUAUUGGUAUAGGAGGAGUCUGCGGCACAUUAGCUAGUAGGUGAGGUAAAGGCUUACCUAGGCGACGAUGUGUAGCCGGUCUGAGAGGAUGAACGGCCACAAUGGAACUGAGACACGGUCCAUACUCCUACGGGAGGCAGCAGUGGGGAAUAUUGCACAAUGGGGGAAACCCUGAUGCAGCAACGCCGCGUGAGUGAAGAAGGUUUUCGGAUUGUAAAGCUCUGUUAGCAGGGAAGAGGAAGGACGGUACCUGCAGAGGAAGCCACGGCUAACUACGUGCCAGCAGCCGCGGUAAUACGUAGGUGGCAAGCGUUGUUCGGAAUAACUGGGCGUAAAGGAUGCGUAGGCGGUUAAACAAGUUAUAUGUUAAAUAUAUAGGCUUAACCUGUAGAAAGCAUAUAAAACUGUUUAACUAGAGUGCAGGAGAGGUAAGUGGAAUUCCUAGUGUAGCGGUGAAAUGCGUAGAGAUUAGGAAGAACACCAGUGGCGAAGGCGACUUACUGGACUGUAACUGACGCUGAGGCAUGAGAGCAUGGGGAGCAAACAGGAUUAGAUACCCUGGUAGUCCAUGCUGUAAACGAUGGGUACUAGGUGUGGGUUGUGAAUAACAAUUCGUGCCGUCGCAAACGC
RNAcentral lists this ribosomal RNA (783 nucleotides) under uncultured bacterium. RNAcentral's name for it is "bacterial SSU rRNA". It matches the Rfam family "Bacterial small subunit ribosomal RNA", at positions 63 to 858 of the family's 1533-position model. The record is from RNAcentral.